GGGUUGUGAGGUUAAGCGACUAAGCGUACACGGUGGAUGCCCUGGCAGUCAGAGGCGAUGAAGGGCGUGCUAAUCUGCGAUAAGCGCCGGUAAGGUGAUAUGAACCGUUAUAACCGGCGAUACCCGAAUGGGGAAACCCAGUGUGACUCGUCACACUAUCAUUAACUGAAUCCAUAGGUUAAUGAGGCGAACCGGGGGAACUGAAACAUCUAAGUACCCCGAGGAAAAGAAAUCAACCGAGAUUCCCCCAGUAGCGGCGAGCGAACGGGGAGGAGCCCAGAGCCUGAAUCAGCAUGUGUGUUAGUGGAAGCGUCUGGAAAGGCGCGCGAUACAGGGUGACAGCCCCGUACACAAAAGCGCAUGUGCUGUGAGCUCGAUGAGUAGGGCGGGACACGUGGUAUCCUGUCUGAAUAUGGGGGGACCAUCCUCCAAGGCUAAAUACUCCUGACUGACCGAUAGUGAACCAGUACCGUGAGGGAAAGGCGAAAAGAACCCCGGCGAGGGGAGUGAAAAAGAACCUGAAACCGUGUACGUACAAGCAGUGGGAGCACAGGUUUACCUGUGUGACUGCGUACCUUUUGUAUAAUGGGUCAG
RNAcentral lists this ribosomal RNA (594 nucleotides) under Salmonella enterica subsp. enterica serovar Enteritidis. RNAcentral's name for it is "partial 23S ribosomal RNA". It matches the Rfam family "Bacterial large subunit ribosomal RNA", at positions 1 to 623 of the family's 2925-position model. Lineage: Bacteria; Pseudomonadati; Pseudomonadota; Gammaproteobacteria; Enterobacterales; Enterobacteriaceae. The record is from RNAcentral.